AGCGGCGGAUGGGUGAGUAACACGUGGGGAACCUGCCCCUAAGUCUGGGAUACCAUUUGGAAACAGGUGCUAAUACCGGAUAAUAAAGCAGAUCGCAUGAUCAGCUUUUGAAAGGCGGCGUAAGCUGUCGCUAAGGGAUGGCCCCGCGGUGCAUUAGCUAGUUGGUAAGGUAACGGCUUACCAAGGCGACGAUGCAUAGCCGAGUUGAGAGACUGAUCGGCCACAUUGGGACUGAGACACGGCCCAAACUCCUACGGGAGGCAGCAGUAGGGAAUCUUCCACAAUGGACGCAAGUCUGAUGGAGCAACGCCGCGUGAGUGAAGAAGGUUUUCGGAUCGUAAAGCUCUGUUGUUGGUGAAGAAGGAUAGAGGUAGUAACUGGCCUUUAUUUGACGGUAAUCAACCAGAAAGUCACGGCUAACUACGUGCCAGCAGCCGCGGUAAUACGCAGGUGGCAAGCGUUGUCCGGAUUUAUUGGGCGUAAAGCGAGCGCAGGCGGAAAAAUAAGUCUAAUGUGAAAGCCCUCGGCUUAACCGAGGAACUGCAUCGGAAACUGUUUUUCUUGAGUGCAGAAGAGGAGAGUGGAACUCCAUGUGUAGCGGUGGAAUGCGUACAUAUCUGGAAGAACACCAGUGGCAACGCGGCUCUCUGGUCUGCAACUGACGCUGAGGCUCGAAAGCAUGGGUAGCGAACAGGAUUAGAUACUCUGGUAGUCCAUGCCGUAAACCAUGAGUGCUAACUGC
This 742-nucleotide ribosomal RNA is filed under the name uncultured bacterium. Its description in RNAcentral is "bacterial SSU rRNA". It matches the Rfam family "Bacterial small subunit ribosomal RNA", at positions 94 to 823 of the family's 1533-position model. The record is from RNAcentral.